This 494-nucleotide ribosomal RNA is filed under the name uncultured bacterium. Its description in RNAcentral is "partial 16S ribosomal RNA". It matches the Rfam family "Bacterial small subunit ribosomal RNA", at positions 28 to 507 of the family's 1533-position model. The record is from RNAcentral.
GACGAACGCUGGCGGCGUGCUUAACACAUGCAAGUCGAACGGUAAAGCGCCUUCCUUUUUGGUGGUUGUGGAUGCGUGGCGAACGGGUGAGUAACACGUGAGUAACCUGCCCCCUUCUACUUGAUAACCGCAUGAAAGUGUGGCUAAUACGGGAUAUUCUGGGUCUGUCGCAUGAUGGGUCUGGGGAAGAUGUUGUUUCGGUGGGGGGUGGGCUGGCGGCCUAUCAGCUUGUUGGUGGGGUGAUGGCCUACCAAGGCGGUGGCGGGGAGCCGGCCUGAGGGGGUGGAGGGCGGCACUGUGGGUGAGGCAAGGCCGAGCCUACUACGGGGGGCAGCAGUGGGGAGUAUUGCACAAUGGGGGCAAGCCUGCUGCAGCGACGCCGCGUCAGGGAUGGAGGCCGUCGGGUUGUGAACCUCUUUCGCCAGUGAAGCAGGCGUGACUUGUUUGUGGGUGGGUUGACGGUAGCUGGAGAAGAAGCGCCGGCUAACUACGUG